RNAcentral lists this long non-coding RNA (5281 nucleotides) under Sus scrofa (pig). RNAcentral's name for it is "lncRNA (ENSSSCG00030010143.1)". Lineage: Eukaryota; Metazoa; Chordata; Mammalia; Artiodactyla; Suidae. The record is from RNAcentral.
GAGGGCAGCCGGCGGCGGGGGCGGAGGCGGCCGCAAGCGCCCUGCCCGGCGCCGCCUCCCUCAGCGCGCUUGCCCGGCGGACCGGCAGGCGGCGGACCGCAGCCUCAGACUGCCGUGAAAGGCCCUGCCUCGUGGCAAGACAAGCUCAGAAGCAGGACGCUGUCAUCACAGGUGGGUGAGGACGGCUUCCUGAAAGGAACGGGUCGGGACUUGCAGGGGCACAGCUGGAUCGCGGGCGCCGGCAGACUGGCAUCGGGUGUUUCGUGGCAGUGAAUGAGCCGAAUGAUUCCCCGGACACAGGCAAGCCCCUUUCCUGGGAUGAUGGACAGCGGUCAUGUCUGUGCCUUCCUGGGCCACAUCCUUCCCGCUCUGUGGCUGGGGUGAUGCAGGAGAGGCCGCUAAACCCUGCGCAGGAGGUUUCAGGCCCAGGUGCAUCAGGUGGGAGCAGGGCUGGCUGCAGAAGGGGCUGAGGAAUCCCCCUGGCUGCCUGCUGCAUGGGGGUGAUGAUGUGUUAGGCUGGCUUCCAACGCCAGACUCGCCAGACUCGCCAGACUCGUCUCUUGGCGUGAGGCUCCCGAGAAACCCAGGUGGUGGAGGUGGGUUGGAGGCUUUUUUGAAGUCGGGUUUACUGAGCUAUAAUUUACAUGCAGUAAAAUCUGUCCUCUUCGGGUGGACUCUUCUGUGCGAUUUGAACACCCUCUCGCCCGUUUUUCUCGCUGGUUCUCAGCCAGAGGCGCCCACAUUCCUUGGCUUGUGGCCCCAGGGUUGUCAAAAGCAGCCACAUGGGUUGAGUCCUUGCACUCAGAAUCUCCAGGGCCUCCUCUUCUGCCUCCUUUCAGCCAGAGAAAGGUCUCUGCUUUUCAGGGCUGAAGUGAUUUGAUUGGGCCUCCCGGGUUAUCCAGACACGCUCUGUACCCAUGUCAGUGGCCUGGGGCUGCCGUCUCAGCACCCCAGUCCGGGUGGCUUUAAACAACACAAAUGCAUCCUCCUGCAGUUCUGGGGACCAGAGGUCAAGGUGAAGGCAGGGACGCUGUGGCUCUGAGCCUCUGCGCAGACUCCUUGCUCUGAUCUUGGGUGGUGCCUGUUGACCUGUUGCAUGGUCUGGCUGUGGAAGCACCCUCCAGUCUGCCCGUCAUCACGUGGCAUCCUCGCUGUGUGUGUCUGUGCCCAAAUUUCCACGUUUCAUUUCGCUUUUAUUUUUGGCCGCACCCACGGCCUGUGGAAGCUCCUGGGCCAGGGAUCGAACCUGCACCACAGCCAUGACUCGAGCCCCAGCAGUGACAAUGCCGAGUCCUUGACCGCGAGGCUACCGAGGAACUCCCAGAUUUCUGCUUUUUAUAAGAACACCAGUCGUGUUGCAUUAAAGGCCCGCCCCCUCCGAGGUAACGUCAUCGUAACUACUUUGCCAGACUCCCGUGUCCAGUGAGGUCACAGUCUGAAGUCUUGGCCGUGAGGACGUGGACGUAGCUUUUGGGGGGGGGGACACACUGAACCCUUGAUGUCCCCUUAGUCGCAUCUGCGGAGCCCCUUCCACGCGUGUGGGUGACAUGUCCAUGGGCUCCAGGGCUGGAGCAUGGACAUCUUUGGGGCCUUAUUGGGCACCCCUGGGCACCCAUGCCCGCCUGGCACACAUGGUCUGUGAGCAGCUAACACUCGCGCAAGGACUUGUGGGAGCCUUGAGACCAUGCUGCGCACAUCCUGUUCGUCCUCCAAGGCGGGAGACUUCUGUGGUGUCCAUCUCAGCAGUUAGGGACAGAGCCGUAACGUCAGAGAAAGGGUCGUGAUCGGAGGUGUGUGAUGCGUUGGGCGGCUUAGGUAGCGCUCGUCUCGGGGACCUUGCCCAGGGCGGUGGGAGGAGGGGGGCCCUAAAGUGUCUGAGUCAGAGCAGCGGCAGUCCAGGGCCUGGUGGCCCCGGGACCCUCCCAGCCCCACGUCCCUGCUGCAGGAAAAGGGUCCCCUGCGUAUAUCGCCCCCCCAGCAGAGAGCCCUCCCCAGCCCCUUAGUUAUAAUGGCAGCCCCUCCCCCACCAGGCCUCCAUCUCUCGGCGUUGAAGCGUCGCUGGUUUCCUUCUCUGCUGUGUCCUGCAGCAUAGCAGCCCCACGAGGGCAGAGGUGGUGUCUGUUUUCUUCACUGCUGUACCCACACCAGCUGUCACAGGAGACGCCUAAAAAUACCUGUUGAAUGAACAAAGCUUUCUGCGCUGCUUAAUGGUCCGUGCCUUCCCGCUUGUUGAAAAGGUGACGGUUUUUCUGUUCUAGGAUUUUCUUGGCAUUUUAUUAGCGAGUUGGUAUUAUUUGCGUACUGCUACCCGAAUAUGAGGAAAACCUUAAGGCAAUGUCAUCAUUUUUCCAUAUCCAGGCCAUGGAGGUUAUUGAAGAGGAUGGAAAUACCUCUUUGUAACUCUGGACGUGAAUGAUAGCCAUUUCGAACUGUGGAGCUGAUCAUUCAGUGGUUUUUAAGUGUUAAGAUAGGGGCUCCAUUUCUGAGCAUGGCUUAACUGUUUGGAGGUCAAGUUGAAAAGAUGGACACAAGCUUUAAACAGGUGCUGAGACACCGGCAGUCUCUCAAGGGGAUGCAUCGUUUCCAGGCUGAGAUCUGGAGAGGGUGGAAACUUGACAUCUGGGGUCAUUUUGUCCCUGGGGUGCUGGCCAAUUUAUGGAAGAAGCAGUUAAGAACCUCAGUGCCACUUCCGAGGGGCUGGGAGUCAAAAAUUGGAAUAUAAAGGGAAGGCCGUGAUCAACAGCCCCAACUCUGGAAAUACAGGGGAAAAGCUGCCCCGGGAAAUACACGUGACCUGGAAACCGACCCUCUGCUCAAAGACCGAAGGCCUGUUGUAACUAAUCUCAAUCCCUGAGGUUGGAUUAAGGUGCUCUCAGAUUGCUAGGACCUCCGAUGCCUGGAGGAAACAAAUGAAUAUCCUCUCCGGGGGAACACAGCAACCUCCUCGGCCUCUAUUUCUGUGAAUAAUUUUUCAAAUACAGGUGGGCCUCACUUUGCGCCGUUCCAUUAUGCACAAACUUCACGACCAUGGUUAGUUAACUAACAACACUGGUCUGACCACAGUUAGUUAAAUAACACCAGUCUCCCUCUCCCAGGGCUCAGAUUUCAGUUAUCUGGGAUAAGAGCUGCGUAGCUGCAGAAAGCACAGUCUCUGCGGAGGGCUCCCCAGCCCACAAAUCACUACGCAGAUAACAGACGUGCCUAGGAUCAGUGACCAAUCCUGUCACUCCUUUCAGAGUCAGCCCUGUGAUUGGUCCUUGUGCAUCUGUCAUUCACACACAGACAGCAAAGUGUGUAACCACGUUGGUUCCUCCUCCCCCAGUGAAAAACCCAUGUGACACUUUAUAAAAAUGGGUAAGUAAUGAGGAAUUGGCCAACGAAGAUGAAAGUGCAGCAAAUAAGUGAAAGGUGCUAAUGCUGGGUAUAAAAUCAGAGUUGAACAUGAGUGGAGUUUUUGAAGAAAUAGUUGACCGUGGGAAUGUGGACACUGCUGCCAUUCAAGAGACUCUAGGUUGGCAGCCAGGAGCACUUAGUAAAAGUGACUCAUUGAGGAAGACCGUUGUGAUGAAAAGUUGAAGUUGUCACACAGGAAAUGACCCCAGCAAAAAAAAAAAAAAUUUAAUUAAAAGAACCCUUUCAGGAGUUCCCGUCAUGGCUUGGUGGUUAAUGAACCUGACUAGUACAUAUGAGGACACGGGUUCGAUCCCUGGCCUCGCUCAGUGGGUUAAGGAUCUGGCAUUGCGGUGACCUGUAGGUCACAGAUGCGGCUUGGAUCCUGUGUUGCUGUGGCUGUGGUGUAAGCCGGCAGCUACAGUUCAGAUUGGACCCCUAGCCUGGGAACCUCCAUAUGCUGGGGGUGUGGCCCUAAAAAGGAAAAAAAAAAGAACCCUUUCAGAAAUUGUAUGGCAUUGAAAGUAAGGAUAAAAAUUGGAAGCUGAUCCAAACUUAGUAUGACAAUUUGGUAGGACAUGGAAGUUCGCUCCUGGAGUUCCCAUCGUGGCUCAGCAGUUAACAAACCGAGUGGCAUCCAUGAGGACCCAGGUUCAAUCCCUGGCCUCACUCUGUGGGUUAAGGAUCUGGCGUUGCUGUGAACUGUGGUGUAAGUUACAGAUGUGGCUCAGAUCUGCAUUGCUGUGGCUUUGGCAUAGGCCAGUGGCUACAGCUCCAAUUGGACCCCUAGCCUGGGAACCUCUAUAUAUGUUGCAGGUGGGGCCCUAAAAAGACAAAAAAAAAAAAAAAAAAAAAAAAAAAAGAGGUUCGCUCCAAAUUGUAAGUUAUACAAUUAGCAGAAAGCAAGCAUGGUUCAGUCUACUCUUGAUAAGUUUUUUUAAACAAGGAAAUAAAACACUUUUUAAUUUUCAAUGAUCCUAAUGUUUUAAAUUGCAACCUACUAAAUACAUACUACUUUUACUAUAGUUUUUAUUUCCCUGUGUGUUUACAACUAAUAAAAAGAGGUGUUUUAGGAGUUCCUGCUGUGGCACAGCAGGUUAAGACCCAGUGUUGUCUCUGUGGCAGUGCAAGUUGCAAAUUCAAUUCCUGGCCGAGAGCACUGGGUUAGGAAUUUGGCAUUGCUGCAGCUGUGGUGUGGAUUGCAGCUUCAGCUCAGAUUUGAUCCCUGGCCUGGGAACUAUGGCUGAAAGAAAUGGGGGGGGUUGUUUUAAUAUUUUGACAAAAAAUUUAAAGGUCAUGGAGCAGUUGUGAUUUUUCACCACUGAUUAGUAAAAUCACUUUGCAUAAUCUCUGCUUGUGGGAUGCUUUUUAUCUUCUCACAUUGCUGUGCAAAUCAAGACUGUUUGUACAGUAAUGACACACAACAAAACCAACCAAGCCCAUGAGAGAACUCAUGAACCAGCCGAAAUGAUAAAUGAUAGAAACAGAACUAUGAGACUCUAAAUAUUAGAUUUAAAAGACAAACUUUAAAAUAAAAUUGUUUAUUACACUCACAAAGAUUGGGAAUUUUGGUAGAACACUAGAAAUUGUAUUUUUAAAAAGGACACUGAUUUGAAAAAAAAAGUCAGGAGUUCCUUUUGUGGCACAGCGGCAACAAAUCCAAUUAGGAACCAUGAGGUUUCGGGUUCGAUCCCUGUCCUCACUCAGUGGGUUAGCAAUCUGGCGUUGCCGUGAGCUGUGGUGUAGGUCGCAGAUAUGGCUCAGAUCCCACAUUGCUGUGGCUGUGGUGUAGGCCGGCAGCUAUAGCUCUGAUUGGACCCCUACCUAGCCUGGGGACCUCCAUAUGCCACAGGUGCGGACCUGAAAAGCCAAAAAAAGAAAAAGAAAAAAA